Molecule: ribosomal RNA, 253 nt
Filed under: uncultured bacterium
Lineage: Bacteria
Description: partial 16S ribosomal RNA
Rfam family: Bacterial small subunit ribosomal RNA
Source: RNAcentral
UACGUAGGGUGCAAGCGUUGUCCGGAAUUAUUGGGCGUAAAGAGCUCGUAGGCGGUCUGUCGCGUCGGAUGUGAAAACUCGGGGCUCAACCCCGAGCCUGCAUUCGAUACGGGCAGACUAGAGUUCGGUAGGGGAGACUGGAAUUCCUGGUGUAGCGGUGAAAUGCGCAGAUAUCAGGAGGAACACCGAUGGCGAAGGCAGGUCUCUGGGCAUUAACUGACGCUGAGGAGCGAAAGCAUGGGGAGCGAACAGG